AGGACGAACGCUGGCGGCGUGCUUAACACAUGCAAGUCGAACGAGGCCCUCCCUUCGGGGAGGUGACCUAGUGGCGAACGGGUGAGUAACACGUGGGCAACCUACCCUCAGCUCUGGGAUAACCCCGGGAAACCGGAGCUAAUACUGGAUAUGACCUGGAACGACAUCGUUCUUGGUGGAAAGUUUUUCGGCUGAGGAUGGGCCCGCGGCCUAUCAGCUUGUUGGUGGGGUAAUGGCCCACCAAGGCGACGACGGGUAGCCGGCCUGAGAGGGCGAUCGGCCACACUGGGACUGAGACACGGCCCAGACUCCUACGGGAGGCAGCAGUGGGGAAUAUUGCGCAAUGGGCGAAAGCCUGACGCAGCGACGCCGCGUGAGGGAUGAAGGCCUUCGGGUUGUAAACCUCUUUCAGCAGGGACGAAGCGAAAGUGACGGUACCUGCAGAAGAAGCACCGGCCAACUACGCGCCAGCAGCCGC
This 478-nucleotide ribosomal RNA is filed under the name uncultured bacterium. RNAcentral describes it as "SSU rRNA". It matches the Rfam family "Bacterial small subunit ribosomal RNA", at positions 26 to 518 of the family's 1533-position model. The record is from RNAcentral.